This 336-nucleotide unclassified non-coding RNA is filed under the name soil metagenome. RNAcentral's name for it is "partial contains 5.8S ribosomal RNA, internal transcribed spacer 2, and large subunit ribosomal RNA". The stretch from base 1 to 120 matches the Rfam family "5.8S ribosomal RNA", at positions 35 to 154 of the family's 154-position model. The record is from RNAcentral.
GAUGAAGAACGCAGCGAAAUGCGAUAAGUAAUGUGAAUUGCAGAAUUCAGUGAAUCAUCGAAUCUUUGAACGCACAUUGCGCCCGCCAGUAUUCUGGCGGGCAUGCCUGUUCGAGCGUCAUUUCAACCAUCAAGCCCCCGGCUUGUGUUGGGGACCUGCGGCUGCCGCAGGCCCUGAAAAGCAGUGGCGGGCUCGCUGUCACACCGAGCGUAGUAGCAUACAUCUCGCUCUGGGCGUGCUGCGGGUUCCGGCCGUUAAACCACCUUCAUAACCCAAGGAUGACCUCGGAUCAGGUAGGAAGACCCGCUGAACUUAAGCAUAUCAAUAAGCGGAGGA